ACGAACGCUGGCGGCGUGCUUAACACCUGCAAGUCGAACGGAAAGGCCCUGCUUUUGUGGGGUGCUCGAGUGGCGAACGGGUGAGUAACGCGUGAGUAACCUGCCCUUGACUUUGGGAUAACUUCAGGAAACUGGGGCUAAUACCGGAUAGGAGCUCCUGCUGCAUGGUGGGGGUUGGAAAGUUUCGGCGGUUGGGGAUGGACUCGCGGCUUAUCAGCUUGUUGGUGGGGUAGUGGCUUACCAAGGCUUUGACGGGUAGCCGGCCUGAGAGGGUGACCGGCCACAUUGGGACUGAGAUACGGCCCAGACUCCUACGGGAGGCAGCAGUGGGGAAUAUUGCACAAUGGGCGGAAGCCUGAUGCAGCAACGCCGCGUGCGGGAUGACGGCCUUCGGGUUGUAAACCGCUUUCGCCUGUGACGAAGCGUGAGUGACGGUAAUGGGUAAAGAAGCACCGGCUAACUACGUG
Molecule: ribosomal RNA, 467 nt
Filed under: uncultured bacterium
Lineage: Bacteria
Description: partial 16S ribosomal RNA
Rfam family: Bacterial small subunit ribosomal RNA
Source: RNAcentral